This 253-nucleotide ribosomal RNA is filed under the name uncultured bacterium. RNAcentral's name for it is "partial 16S ribosomal RNA". It matches the Rfam family "Bacterial small subunit ribosomal RNA", at positions 524 to 776 of the family's 1533-position model. The record is from RNAcentral.
UACGUAGGGGACAAGCGUUGUCCGGAAUCACUGGGCGUAAAGCGUGUGUAGGCGGUCGUGUAAGUCGUGUGUGAAAUUGCUUGGCUUAACCAAGCAACUGCGCUCGAAACUGUGCGACUUGAGUACGAAAGAGGAAAGUGGAAUGUAAGGUGUAGCGGUGAAAUGCGUAGAUAUCUUAUAGAACACCUGUGGCGAAGGCGGCUUUCUGGUUCGAUACUGACGCUGAGACACGAAAGUGUGGGGAGCAAACGGG